This 279-nucleotide ribosomal RNA is filed under the name uncultured bacterium. Its description in RNAcentral is "partial 16S ribosomal RNA". It matches the Rfam family "Bacterial small subunit ribosomal RNA", at positions 506 to 784 of the family's 1533-position model. The record is from RNAcentral.
UGCCAGCAGCCGCGGUAAUACGGAGGGUGCGAGCGUUAAUCGGAAUUACUGGGCGUAAAGCGUACGUAGGUGGUUUGGUAAGUCGGAUGUGAAAUCCCCGGGCUCAACCUGGGAAUUGCAUUCGAAACUGCCUCACUAGAGUCUAGCAGAGGGAUGGGGAAUUCCGGGUGUAGCGGUGAAAUGCGUAGAGAUCCGGAGGAACAUCAGUGGCGAAGGCGGCUUACUGGGAUGUAACUGACGCUGAGGCGCGAAGGCGUGGGUAGCAAACAGGAUUAGAUA